UACAGAGGGGGCAAGCGUUGUUCGGAAUUACUGGGCGUAAAGCGCACGUAGGCGGAUACUUAAGUCAGGGGUGAAAUCCCGGGGCUCAACCCCGGAACUGCCUUUGAUACUGGGUAUCUCGAGUCCGGAAGAGGUGAGUGGAAUUCCGAGUGUAGAGGUGAAAUUCGUAGAUAUUCGGAGGAACACCAGUGGCGAAGGCGGCUCACUGGUCCGGUACUGACGCUGAGGUGCGAAAGCGUGGGGAGCAAACAGG
Molecule: ribosomal RNA, 253 nt
Filed under: uncultured bacterium
Lineage: Bacteria
Description: partial 16S ribosomal RNA
Rfam family: Bacterial small subunit ribosomal RNA
Source: RNAcentral